Pezoporus occidentalis (night parrot) is the source of this 3314-nucleotide long non-coding RNA. RefSeq lists it as uncharacterized. The record is from RefSeq and is a predicted model, not a curated record. NCBI's taxonomy places the organism in Eukaryota, Metazoa, Chordata, Aves, Psittaciformes, Psittacidae. The transcript has 3 exons.
GAGCCUUUGCCCGUGUGGGUUUUCUGUGCUUGAUUAAAUCACAAUAUUUCCUCUGGCUCUGAAGCCAGAAAGGGCCAUUAACUCUUCUUGGCUGGCCACCUGCAUAGCACAGAUCGCUGACUCCCACCCAAUGCUUACUGCUUUGUGCGUGAAAGCUUCUGGCUAAGCUGAUUUCCUUGUCAGAAGAGGUCUCAUCUUUGUACAAAUAUUGAUAGUGAUGGAAAACACUGUGCCCUGUGGCAAUCUGUCCAGGUGUCUAAGCACCCCUCGCUGCUAAGAAUCUGCCUCCCCAGCAUGCAUGCUGGUAUACCAAAAGAAAAUGACAGCACAAAACCCAGCCAAGCUCCUUCGAAAUGUAAAUAGACCGGAACCACUGGUGUCCUCUUAACACAGCAUCAAUCACUGCUGGGUGCUGAAAAUGGCAACACGUUCGUUAUGGUCCAGGCAACCAUCUCAGGCAGCAGAUGGAGAAGGUUUGAGACCUAGUAGCACUGUUUCAGAGACCAGCUCUGUAAUUAUCACAAGGCUCUGCGGCAUCAUUUGGAAACCCUGCAUAUACCCCUUACUCAUGCUGGCUCCUACCUGAGCUUCCUGUGCACCUGCUGUGAAGUAGUAGACAGUAAAGCAAGGCAAGUCCUUAGCUUCUGGUGGGGUCUUCUAGAGAAAAAUUAACCCAUUUACCUUCUCCAAGCAGACCGUGUUUCCAAAAAUAGUAGUCUUUGGAGACUGUUGCUGCAGGUGAAGUGUUGCAGCUGGUGACACAUCCAGCAGCCACAAGAACCGAAUCGGAUCCAUCCGUACCAAAGGAUUCCCAAGCCACAGAGACUUCUCCCAGAAGACAGGGGAACACUGGGAACCAUGCUGGGCUGUCCAUUGGAAUGGUGGUGGUGUGAGAUGCUUUGUUCGGGUGAUGAAGUGUAGGGUGGCUUUUAGCUGUAGUAUCUUCUGACCAAUGAAUACUGGCUUUACCAACCAAACAGUAAGAUGGAGUCUGCUGCUGGUUUCAAGGCAAAGGGAGCAAUUCUUACAAGGAGGAAGGACUGUAGUAAAAACUGUGUUGUGCUCUGAUUUGCCUUUCAGGAUGGCUUUCAUUAGGAAAUGAGGAUGUGACUUCUUGGGUGUGCCAUCUUUGGGGCGAACAAGCAAUGAUCACUCAUCGGUGGAUGGACAUACACCUGGCCUGUUUCAGAUCUCCCUUGGCCAGGUCUACAUGACACAUACCUCACUGAAUUGCUCUGUUGAUCAGUGGGUAGGUAAUAUGUGAUCUUGAUGGACACAAGAGGCCAGAAGACAACUGCUUUGAAGGUUAUAUUGCAGCUGUAGUUAUACCAUAUAUAUACCAUAUAGCAACACUGCUUUCGGGGCUUGUUUUAUUUGAAUAGCUCUAGGGAUGAAUUUUGGUCUGUGUUCAGAAGGACAACGUGCUGUUAUAUUAUCCUGACUGCCUCAUGUAGGAGCAUGCCAGUUCUUGGAUGUCCUUGUGGGAUGUUUGUUUCUCAGCCAAUUUCUGUUCCAAAGCUUGCUUUUUCCAAGAACACCAGGUGGUUAUUGAGUCACUGCUUUUCAGGUUACUGUCUCUUCCAUGCCAUGGAGCAGCCAGGGGGAUGUGAUGCAGCUGCCCAGAGGAGCUGCUGAGGAUUUGUAGUCACUGAAGGCUACUGUGUAAUAGAGGUGAUUAAAAGCUGUGGUGGUGGUAAUGCAACUGAAGCAUCAAUCCAGCCUGAGAGGAACCACAGCUUGGAGCAGUGAAAGAUCUCUUGCCAGUGUAGGAUAUUUGAACUACCUCUGUCUUUUUAAGAUGUUUAUCAUCUGUUGCCUCCAGGGAGGGUGGUUGGGAGCUGUUAUACAUUCUUUUCUCCUCAUUUCUGUAAGAGGACCAUUUCUGGAGCGGAGGGUCCACUUUCUAACUUAGGGAAUAGUUUGACAAAUCAUGACACCUGAAGUGUCACAGAUUCUUCUUCUCAUAAGUAUGUCCUACUGCUUCUCUCCAUCUCCCUGAAUCAAACCCUUGUCUGGGGAGUUGAUUCCCCUUAAAACAAAAUGGUUUUUUUCUCUUUCCCUCCCUCCCCAGCAGUAUCACUUCCCUGAUCCUGCUCUGUGCCUGAUCCAGCAAACUUGAGGGUUGAUUCAAUGAAAAUGGUGCACAGGACCAGAUGUUUCAGGGCUAUGGCCAUCAUUGUCAAAAGAAGCCAUUAGUUGAGUCAGACCUUACAUCCCAAAACAUUACAAGAUGAUGAGACAAGUUGGAUGGAUGGAGGGGAAAAUGCUGCUUCAACCAUUGCCAUGAAAAUGAAGAAGGGUCAUAGUGAAAGAGGGGCAUACCUGUAGGAUCCUCAGUGUGUGCUUAGCCAAGGGUAGCAAUUGCUGUACACCAGUGUGUGGCAUCACAUUAAAAGCUGGCUGUUGUGAGUCCCUUGAGGUUCUGGCAUGCCUUACAACCUACCUAGCAUCGAUAGCAUGAGCACAGUGGGUGAAUGCAUCUUCUGCAAGAAUGAAUAAGCUCUGCCUUCACUAAGAAACUGUCUCUGUCAGAAUUUAGAGGAGAUGAGGACAUUCAUCUGUAUUCAGGACUCCAUCCCCACCAUUCAGUCAUCAGAAUGGAGUGUGACAACACUUUCAACAGGGAAACACACAUUUCGUCAUCUGGACACUCUGGGGUAGUUGAUGCACUCUCAGGUCAGGGCACUCUAUCCCAGCAGCUGGCAAGAGCCACUGGUUUCUGUCACUCCAUCUUUUUCCAGGCAUUGCAACUAGCACAGCCAUAAGCUCCAUGUUAAGCCAGCUGAACCACAAGAGAUCCCCCAUUGUGUUGGGAUGUUUCACAGCCUGUUGGCUGGGGCAGCAGAGGGGCAUCCUGACAUCUCUGAGCAGGAAGAUGUGAAUAGUGGGGUGCUCCUCUCCAGGCCUUAUGUAAUAACAUCUAGGGAUUUGUGUGUCAUCUUCAUUAACAACAUUUUUCUCAGAGGACUGGGAAUGGACUAGAACUCACUCACCUGCCAUGAAAAGUUCUGCUGCUAAAAUUAUGUUUACUGUGGUUUAUCUGAGGAAGCAACUCAGAUGUUGUCCAGUGGAUGGGUGAGAAACAUGGCUUUUCACAUGUGGCAGAAAUGGGUAUUUGGGGUGGGUUUAUCAAUGAAAUCUCAUUGGCUUUAGGUAUAACACCAAUGCAAUUAGUGGAAAAAGCAGGCUUACAGAUUGAGGGUUAGAGGGCAACAGCUGUUCUGGGAUCUGGUGCUCGGAUGUUGAAAGAACUGAAUUGAGAGAAUUGAAGGCACAGCUUGGAGGCUGUGCCUUUCAAGGACCAGCCUAGAACU